Molecule: ribosomal RNA, 274 nt
Filed under: uncultured bacterium
Lineage: Bacteria
Description: partial 16S ribosomal RNA
Rfam family: Bacterial small subunit ribosomal RNA
Source: RNAcentral
CUACGGAGGGUGCGAGCGUUAAUCGGAAUUACUGGGCGUAAAGCGUGCGUAGGCGGUUUGCUAAGUCAGAUGUGAAAGCCCCGGGCUUUACCUGGGAACUGCAUUUGAUACUGGCAGACUAGAGUAUGAUAGAGGUGGGUAGAAUUCCUGGUGUAGCGGUGAAAUGCGUAGAUAUCAGGAGGAAUACCAGUGGCGAAGGCGGCCCCCUGGAUCAAUACUGACGCUGAGGUACGAAAGCGUGGGGAGCGAACAGGAUUAGAAACCCUAGUAGUCC